RNAcentral lists this ribosomal RNA (505 nucleotides) under uncultured bacterium. Its description in RNAcentral is "partial 16S ribosomal RNA". It matches the Rfam family "Bacterial small subunit ribosomal RNA", at positions 29 to 523 of the family's 1533-position model. The record is from RNAcentral.
AUUGAACGCUGGCGGCAGGCCUACACAUGCAAGUCGGACGGUAGCACAGAGGAGCUUGCUCCUCGGGUGACGAGUGGCGGACGGGUGAGUAAUGUCUGGGGAUCUGCCCGAUAGAGGGGGAUAACCACUGGAAACGGUGGCUAAUACCGCAUAAUGUCGCAAGACCAAAGAGGGGGACCUUCGGGCCUCUCACUAUCGGAUGAACCCAGAUGGGAUUAGCUAGUAGGCGGGGUAAUGGCCCACCUAGGCGACGAUCCCUAGCUGGUCUGAGAGGAUGACCAGCCACACUGGAACUGAGACACGGUCCAGACUCCUACGGGAGGCAGCAGUGGGGAAUAUUGCACAAUGGGCGCAAGCCUGAUGCAGCCAUGCCGCGUGUAUGAAGAAGGCCUUCGGGUUGUAAAGUACUUUCAGCGGGGAGGAAGGCGGUGAGGUUAAUAACCUUGCCGAUUGACGUUACCCGCAGAAGAAGCACCGGCUAACUCCGUGCCAGCCGCCGCCGUAA